AUACGGAGGGUGCAAGCGUUACUCGGAAUCACUGGGCGUAAAGCGCGCGCAGGCGGUCUUUUAAGUUGGAUGUGAAAGCCUACGGCUCAACCGUAGAACUGCAUCCAAAACUAUUAGACUAGAGUGUGGGAGAGGAAGAUGGAAUUAGUUGUGUAGGGGUAAAAUCCGUAGAGAUAACUAGGAAUACCAAAAGCGAAGGCAAUCUUCUGGAACACUACUAACGCUGAGGCGCGAAAGCGUGGGGAGCAAACGGGAUUAGAAACCCUAGUAGUCC
This 274-nucleotide ribosomal RNA is filed under the name uncultured bacterium. Its description in RNAcentral is "partial 16S ribosomal RNA". It matches the Rfam family "Bacterial small subunit ribosomal RNA", at positions 523 to 796 of the family's 1533-position model. The record is from RNAcentral.